CUGUGGAGCGCUACACAUCCAAGGCUUGUGCUAAGCACCUAGGACAUCGCUCCAGCCUCCAGGAGCUCACAGGGCUAACAGGCACAGGUGGGGAGAGGAAGCCUCAAGGGAAGGGGUCCGCCCUCUCCUGGGUGAGUGAGAAAUAACACUGCCAAUGAACAGCAAUCUGUGCAGUCAAAGGGGAGCCUGGAAAUCUGGCCCCGACUUUCUGCCACAAGCCAUGCCAGGGCUCAGGAAAGUCCUCAAGCCUUGGUGGGUCUGACCUCACUCUCUACUGGUGUGCGGGCUCUCCCUCCAAGACCGAGUACCAGGCUGAACUGAGCACCAGAUGCAACCAACUGCUGGGAAGCGCCCAGUUGCCACGGCAACAGCUCCUACCCAGGUACAGAGGGUGCAUCCUGGCAGCUCCCAAACACUACAGCUGAGCAAAAGAGGCCCGGAGCCUAAGACUUUCUCCCAUAAGCCUCAGGGCUCCUCGGCAGAGCUGCUUGGUUCACCAGAGGCGAGGUCACCUGUGCACAGCAGGCAGUCUCAACCCCUUCAAGACUGAGAACACCUGGAUAGCCAAUUUACUGGGUUGUUCAACUAUGCCAGAAAGUCUCCAGAAAUUGUCCUGAACCAGUGUUCACCUGGAUUCCCGGAAAGGCUGACUGAGAUUCACCUGAGGGACACCACCAAAGAGACAGUCCUUUCAUGGAAAGGGAAGCACCCUCAGCCAUAAAGACUCCACAGCUACAAAAGACACGCGUGCACACAUACCCACUCCAGAGCUGUGAUGUCGGUAUUGAGAUAAAGAUCAGCUGGAUCCCAGCCCACCAGCUCUGCCUUUGUGGGUCUAGUCUGAACCCCUGCAUCAUUGUAUGCCCCCCUUAGGCAUCUAAACUGGAGUCUUUUUUAUUAUCUCCCCUCCAACAUUCCUAAUAAAGAUUUAUUGCUGGGCUACAGAUGGAGCUCGGUUCCGCG
Molecule: long non-coding RNA, 963 nt
Filed under: Fukomys damarensis (Damara mole-rat)
Lineage: Eukaryota; Metazoa; Chordata; Mammalia; Rodentia; Bathyergidae
Description: lncRNA (ENSFDAG00000028183.1)
Source: RNAcentral